UCUGGUAUAGCUCAGUUGGUAGAGCAGUCGCGAACUAUUGAACGCGCGAUGUUGCCGCAGGUUCGAUCCCUGCUACCGGAA
RNAcentral lists this transfer RNA (81 nucleotides) under Streptomyces sp. SID3212. RNAcentral's name for it is "tRNA-OTHER". It matches the Rfam family "tRNA". Rfam says of the family: Transfer RNA (tRNA) molecules are approximately 80 nucleotides in length. Their secondary structure includes four short double-helical elements and three loops (D, anti-codon, and T loops). The record is from RNAcentral. Lineage: Bacteria; Bacillati; Actinomycetota; Actinomycetes; Kitasatosporales; Streptomycetaceae.